GGGGGGUAAGUAUAAUGGGUAAGGAACUAGUCUUGUAACCUAAAGGUCACAGGUUCGAUUCCUGGUACCCUUCA
RNAcentral lists this transfer RNA (74 nucleotides) under Anguilla anguilla (European eel). RNAcentral describes it as "tRNA-OTHER". It matches the Rfam family "tRNA". Rfam says of the family: Transfer RNA (tRNA) molecules are approximately 80 nucleotides in length. The record is from RNAcentral. Lineage: Eukaryota; Metazoa; Chordata; Actinopteri; Anguilliformes; Anguillidae.